This 442-nucleotide ribosomal RNA is filed under the name uncultured bacterium. Its description in RNAcentral is "partial 16S ribosomal RNA". It matches the Rfam family "Bacterial small subunit ribosomal RNA", at positions 338 to 795 of the family's 1533-position model. The record is from RNAcentral.
CCUACGGGUGGCAGCAGUGGGGAAUAUUGGGCAAUGGGCGCAAGCCUGACCCAGCAACGCCGCGUGAAGGAAGAAGGCUUUCGGGUUGUAAACUUCUUUUAAGAGGGAAGAGCAGAAGACGGUACCUCUUGAAUAAGCCACGGCUAACUACGUGCCAGCAGCCGCGGUAAUACGUAGGUGGCAAGCGUUGUCCGGAUUUACUGGGUGUAAAGGGCGUGCAGCCGGGAAGACAAGUCAGAUGUGAAAUCCCGCGGCUCAACCGCGGAACUGCAUUGGGAACUACCGGGCUGGAGUGCCGGAGAGGUAGGGGGAAUUCCUAGGGUAGCGGUGAAAUGCGUAGAUAUUAGGAGGAACACCAGUGGCGAAGGCGGCCUACUGGACGGUGACUGGCGCUGAGGCUCGAAAGCGUGGGGAGCAAACAGGAUUAGAUACCCGGGUAGUC